GAUGAACGCUGGCGGCGUGCCUAAUACAUGCAAGUCGAGCGAACAGACGAGGAGCUUGCUCCUCUGACGUUAGCGGCGGACGGGUGAGUAACACGUGGAUAACCUACCUAUAAGACUGGGAUAACUUCGGGAAACCGGAGCUAAUACCGGAUAAUAUAUUGAACCGCAUGGUUCAGUAGUGAAAGACGGUUUUGCUGUCACUUAUAGAUGGAUCCGCGCCGCAUUAGCUAGUUGGUAAGGUAACGGCUUACCAAGGCAACGAUGCGUAGCCGACCUGAGAGGGUGAUCGGCCACACUGGAACUGAGACACGGUCCAGACUCCUACGGGAGGCAGCAGUAGGGAAUCUUCCGCAAAGGGCGAAAGCUUGACGGAGCAACGCCGCGUGAGUGAUGAAGGUCUUCGGAUCGUAAAACUCUGUUAUUAGGGAAGAACAAAUGUGUAAGUAACUAUGCACGUCUUGACGGUACCUAAUCAGAAAGCCACGGCUAACUACGUG
Molecule: ribosomal RNA, 497 nt
Filed under: uncultured bacterium
Lineage: Bacteria
Description: partial 16S ribosomal RNA
Rfam family: Bacterial small subunit ribosomal RNA
Source: RNAcentral